GACGAACGCUGGCGGCGUGCUUAACACAUGCAAGUCGAACGGUUAGGCCCUGCUUUUGUGGGGUGCUCGAGUGGCGAACGGGUGAGUAACACGUGAGUAACCUGCCCUUGACUUUGGGAUAACUUCAGGAAACUGGCGCUAAUACCGGAUAUGAGCUCCUGCUGCAUGGUGGGCGUUGUAAAGUUUGGGGGGUUGGGGAUGGAGUCUCGGCUUAUGAGCUUGUUGGUGGGGUAGUGGCUUACGACGGCUUUGACGGGUAGCCGGCAUGAGAGGGUGACCGGCCACAAUGGGACUGAGGGAGGGACCAGAAUGGAACGGGAGGCAGCAGUGGGGAAUAUUGCAGAAUGGGGGGAAGUCAGAGGAAAAAGUGCCGCGUGCGGGAUGAUGGGCUGCGGGUGGAGAACAGGUUUGGCAGGUGCUGAAGGGUGAGUGACGGUAAUGAGUAAAGAAGCAACGGCUAACUACGUG
This 468-nucleotide ribosomal RNA is filed under the name uncultured bacterium. RNAcentral describes it as "partial 16S ribosomal RNA". It matches the Rfam family "Bacterial small subunit ribosomal RNA", at positions 28 to 507 of the family's 1533-position model. The record is from RNAcentral.